This is a small nucleolar RNA of Medicago truncatula (barrel medic), 107 nucleotides long. It matches the Rfam family "Plant small nucleolar RNA R71". From Rfam's summary of the family: R71 is a member of the C/D box family of snoRNAs containing the C (UGAUGA) and D (CUGA) box motifs. Multiple nearly identical copies of this snoRNA have been identified in Arabidopsis, and it is thought to function as a 2'-O-ribose methylation guide for 18S ribosomal RNA. Lineage: Eukaryota; Viridiplantae; Streptophyta; Magnoliopsida; Fabales; Fabaceae. The record is from Rfam.
AGGCCAUGUGAAGGACACCUCUUGAGCAACAAAUUAAAACGUUCCCAAGCAUCAUACAAGGUUUCAGUUUCCCCUUGUUUAAAGUUUGUGAUCUCAUGUUUCUUUUC